AUUGAACGCUGGCGGAACUGCUUUACGACAUGCAAAGUCGAGCGGCAGCGCGGGGGCAACCCUGGCGGCGAGCGGCGAACGGGGUGAGGUAACAUAUCGGAACGUACCCAGUCGUGGGGGAUAACUAUCCGAAAGGAUAGCUAAUACCGCAUACGUCCUGAGGGAGAAAGCGGGGGAUCGCAAGACCGUCGCCGCGAUUGGGACGCGGCCGAUAUCGGAUUAGCGUAGUUGGUGGGGUAAAGGCUCACCAAGGCGACGAUCCGUAGCGGGUCUGAGAGGACGACCCGCCACACUGGAACCUGAGACACGGUCCAGACUCCUACGGGAGGCAGCAGUGGGGAAUUUUUGGACAAUGGGGGCAACCCCUGAUCCAGCCAUUCCGCGUGAGUGAAGAA
Molecule: ribosomal RNA, 395 nt
Filed under: uncultured bacterium
Lineage: Bacteria
Description: bacterial SSU rRNA
Rfam family: Bacterial small subunit ribosomal RNA
Source: RNAcentral